Molecule: ribosomal RNA, 465 nt
Filed under: uncultured bacterium
Lineage: Bacteria
Description: partial 16S ribosomal RNA
Rfam family: Bacterial small subunit ribosomal RNA
Source: RNAcentral
GACGAACGCUGGCGGCGUGCUUAACACAUGCAAGUCGAACGGAAAGGCCCCUUUGGGGGUACUCGAGUGGCGAACGGGUGAGUAACACGUGAGUAACCUGCCCUUGACUUCGGGAUAACUUCAGGAAACUGGGGCUAAUACCGGAUAGGAAUCCUUGCUGCAUGGUGGGGGUUGGAAAGCUUCGGCGGUUUUGUAUGGACUCGCGGCUUAUCAGCUUGUUGGUGGGGUAGUGGCUUACCAAGGCUUUGACGGGUAGCCGGCCUGAGAGGGCGACCGGCCACAGUGGGACUGAGAUACGGCCCAGACUCCGACGGGAGGCAGAAGGGGGGAAGAUUGCACAAGGGGCGGAAGCCUGAUGCAGCAACGCCGCGUGCGGGAUGACGGCCUUCGGGUUGUAAACCGCUUUCAGCAGGGGCGAAGCUUGUGGUGACGGUACCUGCAGAAGAAGCACCGGCUAACUACGUG